GAUGAACGCUGGCGGCGUGCCUAAUACAUGCAAGUCGAGCGAACGGACGAGAAGCUUGCUUCUCUGAUGUUAGCGGCGGACGGGUGAGUAACACGUGGAUCACCUACUUAUAUGUCUGGGAUAAUUUCGGGAAACCGUAGAUAAUACCGGAUAAUAUUUUGAACCGCAUGGUUCAAAAGAGAAUGACGGUCUUGGUGCCUCUUAUAGCUGGAUCCGCGCUGCAUUAGCUAGUUGGUAAGGUAACGGCUUACCAAGGCUACGAUGCAUAGCCGACCUGAGAGGGUGAUCGGCCACACUGGAACUGAGACACGGUCCAGACUCCUACGGGAGGCAGCAGUAGGGAAUCUUCCGCAAUGGGCGAAAGCCUGACGGAGCAACGCCGCGUGAGUGAUGAAGGUCUUCGGAUCGUAAAACUCUGUUAUUAGGGAAGAACAGAUGUGUAAGUAACUGUGCACAUCUUGACGGUACCUAAUCAGAAAGCCACGGCUAACUACGUG
RNAcentral lists this ribosomal RNA (497 nucleotides) under uncultured bacterium. RNAcentral describes it as "partial 16S ribosomal RNA". It matches the Rfam family "Bacterial small subunit ribosomal RNA", at positions 28 to 507 of the family's 1533-position model. The record is from RNAcentral.